RNAcentral lists this long non-coding RNA (582 nucleotides) under Sinocyclocheilus grahami. RNAcentral's name for it is "lncRNA (ENSSGRG00000013995.1)". Lineage: Eukaryota; Metazoa; Chordata; Actinopteri; Cypriniformes; Cyprinidae. The record is from RNAcentral.
AUGCCUCUGUGCUGUGUUCGCUCACACAGAUCUGGUGGAUCACUCUCUGGGAACACACUGCUUCCAGCUGGCCAAGAAAACGGUGGACAAAGUCAUCUCUGUCAGGGAGGCGGAUGCUCUGGUGGCCAUGCUGCGCUUUCAGGAGUACGAGCGCUCGACCGUGGACACAGAAGGAGCCGUGGGCUUGGCUGCAAUCUUAGCUGGUCACCUGCCAGAGCUUAAAGGGAAAAGGGUGGCAGUGGUGGUGAGCAGUGCAAACAUGGAGCUGGACCUGGUUCUGCAGUGUGUGGAGCGAGCUCUGGUUCUGGACGACAGAGUCAGUCGCUUCACGGUGCAGCUGGCCGACUGGCCCGGAGACAUGGCCAAACUCCUGGAUCUGCUGGCCAGAGAGGACGUCAGGUGAGCUUUCGUGCAUCGUGCAGACGCUUCUAUCCAAAUGACUCGCAUUGCAUUCGAGCUGUGCAUGUUAUCAGUAAAUGCAUUCUCUGGGAAUCGAAGCCAUGACUUCUACGGCUUGAGCUCCUGCAUGUAAACCUUGAAUGCAGUGCAAGUGGCUUUGAAUAAAAGCAUCUGCUCGAUGCA